CCUACGGGUGGCAGCAGUGAGGAAUAUUGGUCAAUGGACGCAAGUCUGAACCAGCCAAGUAGCGUGCAGGAUGACGGCCCUCCGUGUUGUAAACUGCUUUUAGUUGGGAGUAAAAGGGGGCUCGUUAGCCCCGUAUUGUAUGUACCAUCAGAGAAAGGACCGGCUAAUUCCGUGCCAGCAGCCGCGGUAAUACGGAAGGUUCGGGCGUUAUCCGGAUUUAUUGGGGGUAAAGAGUUCGUAGGUGGCACGUUAGGUCUGGUGUUAAAGCGGAAAGCUCAACUUCCGUAGGGCACUGGAAACUGGCGAGCUUGAAUGCGGGAGAGGUAAAGGGAAUUCCUGGUGUAGCGGUGAAAUGCGUAGAUAUCAGGAGGAACAUCGGUGGCGUAAGCGCUUUACUGGGCCGUAAUUGACACUGAGGAACGAAAGCCGGGGUAGCAAAUGGGAUUAGAUACCCGUGUAGUC
RNAcentral lists this ribosomal RNA (462 nucleotides) under uncultured bacterium. RNAcentral describes it as "partial 16S ribosomal RNA". It matches the Rfam family "Bacterial small subunit ribosomal RNA", at positions 338 to 795 of the family's 1533-position model. The record is from RNAcentral.